AGAAUGAACGCUGGCGGCAUGCCUAACACAUGCAAGUCGAACGAGACCUUCGGGUCUAGUGGCGCACGGGUGCGUAACGCGUGGGAAUCUGCCCUUAGGUACGGAAUAACUCAGGGAAACUUGUGCUAAUACCGUAUGAUGUCGAGAGACCAAAGAUUUAUCGCCUAGGGAUGAGCCCGCGUAGGAUUAGCUAGUUGGUGGGGUAAAGGCCUACCAAGGCUACGAUCCUUAGCUGGUCUGAGAGGAUGAUCAGCCACACUGGGACUGAGACACGGCCCAGACUCCUACGGGAGGCAGCAGUGGGGAAUAUUGGACAAUGGGCGAAAGCCUGAUCCAGCAAUGCCGCGUGAGUGAAGAAGGCCUUCGGGUUGUAAAGCUCUUUUACCCGGGAAGAUAAUGACUGUACCGGGAGAAUAAGCUCCGGCUAACUCCGCGCCAGCAGCCGC
Molecule: ribosomal RNA, 446 nt
Filed under: uncultured bacterium
Lineage: Bacteria
Description: SSU rRNA
Rfam family: Bacterial small subunit ribosomal RNA
Source: RNAcentral